RNAcentral lists this microRNA (19 nucleotides) under Lotus japonicus. RNAcentral's name for it is "lja-miR11069-5p". Lineage: Eukaryota; Viridiplantae; Streptophyta; Magnoliopsida; Fabales; Fabaceae. The record is from miRBase by way of RNAcentral.
GACACCAAGAGAUCUCGAC